Molecule: ribosomal RNA, 517 nt
Filed under: uncultured bacterium
Lineage: Bacteria
Description: partial 16S ribosomal RNA
Rfam family: Bacterial small subunit ribosomal RNA
Source: RNAcentral
GACGAACGCUGGCGGCGUGCCUAAUACAUGCAAGUCGAGCGGACCGGAUUGGGGCUUGCCUUGAUUCGGUCAGCGGCGGACGGGUGAGUAACACGUGGGCAACCUGCCCGCAAGACCGGGAUAACUCCGGGAAACCGGAGCUAAUACCGGAUAACACCGAAGACCGCAUGGUCUUCGGUUGAAAGGCGGCCUUUGGGCUGUCACUUGCGGAUGGGCCCGCGGCGCAUUAGCAAGUUGGUGAGGUAACGGCUCACCAAGGCGACGAUGCGUAGCCGGCCUGGGAGGGGGACCGGCCACACGGGGACUGAGACACGGCCCAGAGUCAGACGGGAGGCAGCAGUAGGGAAUCUUCCGCAAUAGGCGAAAGCCUGACGGGGCGACGCCGCGGGAGCGAAGAAGGCCUUCGGGUCGUAAAGCUCUGUUGUGAGGGACGAAGGAGCGCCGUUCGAAGAGGGCGGCGCGGUGACGGUACCUCACGAGAAAGCCCCGGCUAACUACGUGCCAGCCGCCGCGGUAA